This 555-nucleotide small RNA is filed under the name Pan troglodytes (chimpanzee). RNAcentral's name for it is "processed transcript". Lineage: Eukaryota; Metazoa; Chordata; Mammalia; Primates; Hominidae. The record is from RNAcentral.
GGAUUGCGGUCAUGGACAAGGAAGGCAAUGUCCUGGGCCAUUCCAGAAUUGCUGGGACAAAGGCUGUUAGAGAAACGCUAGCAUCCAGAAUAGUGCUGUUUGGGACCUCAGCUCUGAUUCCUGAAGUCUUCACCUACUUUUUUAAAAGAUACAGUACUGUAGUCUUGAAGAGAAAAUUCAGUCUCCAACAGAAGAAACAGAAAUCUUUUAUCACAGAGGGGUGUAGGCGUGAGUUUUAGGUGAAUUUAUGUGGUUCCUGCUUGAAAACCUUCCCCUCUCCAGGUUCGGUUUAGAGAACUUUGCCACAGGUCUUCUGGGGACCCCAGAGGUGUCUGUGCUGACAAGGCGACUUCAAAUUCCAUACUGAGAUCGUUCCCAGGCUGGCGUCUCUGGGGUUUUUAAGGCUGGCUGGAGAAGACAGUGGGAGGGUGCCCCGUCUGACACCCCUGGGGUUGCUGAGGGAACGGUUGGAGUGGGGAUCAGCCUGCGAAAGGAUACUGUGAAAUCACUAAUUAACUAAUAAACCUGUCUCAAGUUGAGGAUUUGAAGAAAGAA